RNAcentral lists this transfer RNA (73 nucleotides) under Proteiniphilum sp. RNAcentral's name for it is "tRNA-Thr". It matches the Rfam family "tRNA". From Rfam's summary of the family: Transfer RNA (tRNA) molecules are approximately 80 nucleotides in length. Their secondary structure includes four short double-helical elements and three loops (D, anti-codon, and T loops). Further hydrogen bonds mediate the characteristic L-shaped molecular structure. tRNAs have two regions of fundamental functional importance: the anti-codon, which is responsible for specific mRNA codon recognition, and the 3' end, to which the tRNAs corresponding amino acid is attached (by aminoacyl-tRNA synthetases). tRNAs cope with the degeneracy of the genetic code in two manners: having more than one tRNA (with a specific anti-codon) for a particular amino acid; and 'wobble' base-pairing, i.e. permitting non-standard base-pairing at the 3rd anti-codon position. Lineage: Bacteria; Pseudomonadati; Bacteroidota; Bacteroidia; Bacteroidales; Dysgonomonadaceae. RNAcentral also lists the same sequence under 1 other name. The record is from RNAcentral.
GCCGUAAUAGCUCAAUUGGAAGAGCAGUUCCUUUGUAAGGAAUCGGUUGCCGGUUCAAUCCCGGCUUACGGCU